Molecule: ribosomal RNA, 515 nt
Filed under: uncultured bacterium
Lineage: Bacteria
Description: partial 16S ribosomal RNA
Rfam family: Bacterial small subunit ribosomal RNA
Source: RNAcentral
GAUGAACGCUGGCGGCGUGCCUAAUACAUGCAAGUCGAGAGAAUGGAUUAAGAGCUUGCUCUUAUGAAGUUAGCGGCGGACGGGUGAGUAACACGUGGGUAACCUGCCCAUAAGACUGGGAUAACUCCGGGAAACCGGGGCUAAUACCGGAUAACAUUUUGAACCGCAUGGUUCGAAAUUGAAAGGCGGCUUCGGCUGUCACUUAUGGAUGGACCCGCGUCGCAUUCGCUAGUUAGUGAGGUAACGGCUCACCAAGGCUACGAAGCGUAGCCGACCUGAGAGGGUGAUCGGCCACACUGGGACUGAGACACUGCCCAGACUCCUACGGGAGGCAGCAGUAGGGAAUCUUCCGUAAUGGACGAAAGUCUGACGGAGCAACGCCGCGUGAGUGAUGGAGGCUUUCGGGUCGUAAAACUCUGUUGUUAGGGAAGAACAAGUGCUAGUUGAAUAAGCUGGCACCUUGACGGUACCUAACCAGAAAGCCACGGCUAACUACGUGCCAGCCGCCGCAGUAA